RNAcentral lists this ribosomal RNA (86 nucleotides) under Varanus primordius. RNAcentral's name for it is "partial 16S ribosomal RNA". Lineage: Eukaryota; Metazoa; Chordata; Lepidosauria; Squamata; Varanidae. The record is from RNAcentral.
AAGAAACCCAUACCUAAAGCAAGUUUCCCCCCGCUCCCCGAAGCAAUAUCAAACCAACAGUACCGCCUAUCACCCAAGAACAGGAC